Long non-coding RNA from Cyprinodon tularosa, 756 nucleotides. RefSeq lists it as uncharacterized. The record is from RefSeq and is a predicted model, not a curated record. NCBI's taxonomy places the organism in Eukaryota, Metazoa, Chordata, Actinopteri, Cyprinodontiformes, Cyprinodontidae. The transcript has 2 exons.
AUAUAUAUAUAUAUAUAUAUAUAUAUAUACAGAAAAUUGGUGCUUGCAUUGGUCCCUGUGGUACUCCAGAGGUAACCCUUGAGCAUGAGGAAGAUUUGUCAUUAACGUGAACAAACUGAAAUCGAUCAGAUAGAUAAGAUUUAAACCAGCAUAGUGCUGUUCCUCUAAUACCUACAAAAUAUUCAAGUCUUUCUAAAAGAAUAUUAUGUUCAACUGUAUCAAAUACAGUACUAGAUCUAACCGGACAGGUACAAAUACAAUUCCAUUAUCAGAGGCCAUGAGAUUAUCAUUAGUAACCUUCACCAGAGCUGUUUUCAAAACUUCAUUAUGGUGUAAGAUGUCGCACACUUGUUUGGCAUCUACUUUCUCAAGAAUUUUAUAUAUGAAAGGAAAAUUGGAUAUAGGUUUAUAAUUGAUCAAGUCAUCUGGGUCAAGAGACAGUUUCUUAAGUAAAGCUUUAAUUACAGCAACCUUGAAAGCCAUUGGUCCCUGUAGCAGAGAUAGAUUAAUCACAUCUAAAAUGGAGGACGAGAUCAAAGGGAAUACUUCCUUAAAUAAUCUGGUUGGAACUGGAUCCAACAUCCAAGUUGAAGGCUUAGAUUAAGACAAUAGUUUUACUAACUCUGAAAGUUCAACUGGAUCAAAGCAGUCUAAACCCUGUUCAGAUUCUAUGGCUACCUAUGAUGCUUCCGCACCUUCCAGAGAUGGUGCUGAUAUGUUGAAUUGUGUAAAUAUAGUGUUGUUAAAAGUCAAAAA